CCGAAGUGCCGUAGCUAACGCGUUAAGUAUCCCGCCUGGGGAGUACGCACGCAAGUGUGAAACUCAAAGGAAUUGACGGGGGCCCGCACAAGCGGUGGAGUAUGUGGUUUAAUUCGAUGCAACGCGAAGAACCUUACCAGGACUUGACAUGUCGCGAAUCCAGUGGAAACACAGGAGUGCCUUCGGCCGCGUCGACCAGGUGGUGCAUGGUUGUCGUCAGCUCGUGUCGUGAGAUGUUGGGUUAAGUCCCGCAACGAGCGCAACCCCUAUUGUUAGUUGCUACGCAAGAGCACUCUAGCGAGACUGCCGUUGACAAAACGGAGGAAGGUGGGGACGACGUCAAAUCAUCAUGCCCCUUAUGUCCUGGGCCACACACGUACUACAAUGGCGGUUAACAAAGAGAGGCAAUACCGCGAGGUGGAGCAAAUCUCAAAAAGCCGUCCCAGUUCGGAUUGCAGGCUGCAACCCGCCUGCAUGAAGUUGGAAUCGCUAGUAAUCGCGGAUCAGCAUGCCGCGGUGAAUACGUUCCC
This 530-nucleotide ribosomal RNA is filed under the name uncultured bacterium. Its description in RNAcentral is "bacterial SSU rRNA". It matches the Rfam family "Bacterial small subunit ribosomal RNA", at positions 838 to 1375 of the family's 1533-position model. The record is from RNAcentral.